This 253-nucleotide ribosomal RNA is filed under the name uncultured bacterium. Its description in RNAcentral is "partial 16S ribosomal RNA". It matches the Rfam family "Bacterial small subunit ribosomal RNA", at positions 524 to 776 of the family's 1533-position model. The record is from RNAcentral.
UACGUAGGGACCAAGCGUUGUUCGGAUUUACUGGGCGUAAAGGGCGCGUAGGCGGCAAUUCAAGUCAUCUGUGAAAUCUCCGGGCUUAACUCGGAACGGUCAGAUGAUACUGCUUUGCUCGAUUGCGGAAGGGGCAAUCGGAAUUCUUGGUGUAGCGGUGAAAUGCGUAGAUAUCAAGAGGAACACCUGAGGUGAAGACGGGUUGCUGGGCCGACACUGACGCUGAAGCGCGAAAGCCAGGGGAGCAAACGGG